Molecule: ribosomal RNA, 305 nt
Filed under: uncultured bacterium
Lineage: Bacteria
Description: bacterial SSU rRNA
Rfam family: Bacterial small subunit ribosomal RNA
Source: RNAcentral
UUAUACCUACGGGGGGCAGCAGUGGGGGAUAUUGGACAAUGGGGGAAACCCUGAUCCAGCGAUGCCGCGUGAGGGAAGAAGGUUUUCGGAUUGUAAACCUCUGUGGAGGGGGACGAUAAUGACGGUACCCCUUUAGGAAGCCACGGCUAACUACGUGCCAGCAGCCGCGGUAAUACGUAGGUGGCGAGCGUUGUCCGGAAUUACUGGGUGUAAAGGGAGCGUAGGCGGGACGGCAAGUCAGAUGUGAAAACUGAGGGCUCAACCUUCAGACUGCAUUUGAAACUGUUGUUCUUGAGUGAAGUAGG